RNAcentral lists this ribosomal RNA (511 nucleotides) under uncultured bacterium. RNAcentral's name for it is "bacterial SSU rRNA". It matches the Rfam family "Bacterial small subunit ribosomal RNA", at positions 19 to 518 of the family's 1533-position model. The record is from RNAcentral.
AUGGCUCAGGAUGAACGCUAGCUACAGGCUUAACACAUGCAAGUCGUGGGGCAGCAUAUAGAUAGCUUGCUAUUUAUGAUGGCGACCGGCGCACGGGUGAGUAACGCGUAUCCAACCUUCCCCAUAGUAGGGUAUAGCCCGGCGAAAGUCGGAUUAAUCCCCUAUGUUGUUUGAAGCGGACAUCUAAUUCAAACCAAAGAUUCAUCGCUAUGGGAUGGGGAUGCGUCUGAUUAGGUUGCAGGCGGGGUAACGGCCCACCUGGCCGACGAUCAGUAGGGGUUCUGAGAGGAAGGUCCCCCACACUGGUACUGAGACACGGACCAGACUCCUACGGGAGGCAGCAGUGAGGAAUAUUGGUCAAUGGGCGCGAGCCUGAACCAGCCAAGUAGCGUGCAAGGAUGACGGCCCUACGGGUUGUAAACUGCUUUUAUGCGGGGAUAAAGUGCGGCACGUGUGCCGUUUUGCAGGUACCGCAUGAAUAAGGACCGGCUAAUUCCGUGCCAGCAGCCGC